UUUUACACAAACCCCAGAGCUAGCAAAGAUGUAAAACGAUCAGUUAAGCCAAGGGAUGCUGAGGGCAGGCAGCCCAGGGCAGACGCUCCGCCCAAGAGUUUAGGCAGGGAGUCAGGUGACAGCCUUGUCAGACAGGCGGAGGUGGGCCAGCCGAGUGACGGCAGACAGGCGGAGGUGGGCCAGCCGAGUGACGGCAGACAGGCGGAGGUGGGCCAGCCGAGUGACGGCAGACAGGCGGAGGUGGGCCAGCUGAGUGACGGCAGACAGGCGGAGGUGGGCCAGCCGAGUGACGGCAGACGGGCGGAGGUGGGCCAGCCGAGUGACGCCAGCUGCCCCCGCCCUGCCUCGGCCACAGGGUGGAUGCGACAGCAGGCAGGGCCGGGUCCCAGGCUCGUCCACCAGUGUUGCUCUGCGAGCUGCC
Oryctolagus cuniculus (rabbit) is the source of this 421-nucleotide non-coding RNA. The record is from RefSeq and is a predicted model, not a curated record. Lineage: Eukaryota; Metazoa; Chordata; Mammalia; Lagomorpha; Leporidae.